AUACGUAGGGGGCGAGCGUUGUCCGGAAUGAUUGGGCGUAAAGGGCGCGUAGGCGGCCCGGUAAGUCUGGAGUGAAAGUCCUGUUUUUAAGAUGGGAAUUGCUUUGAAUACUGUCGGGCUUGAGUGCAGGAGAGGUAAGUGGAAUUCCCAGUGUAGCGGUGAAAUGCGUAGAGAUUGGGAGGAACACCAGUGGCGAAGGCGACUUACUGGGCCGUAACUGACGCUGAGGCGCGAAAGCGUGGGGAGCGAACAGGAUUAGAUACCCUGGUAGUCCACGCGGUAAACGAUGAAUGCUAGGUGUUGCGGGUAUCGACCCCUGCAGUGCCGGAGUCAACACAAUAAGCAUUCCGCCUGGGGAGUACGGCCGCAAGGUUGAAACUCAAAUGAAUUGACGGG
RNAcentral lists this ribosomal RNA (396 nucleotides) under uncultured bacterium. Its description in RNAcentral is "partial 16S ribosomal RNA". It matches the Rfam family "Bacterial small subunit ribosomal RNA", at positions 523 to 917 of the family's 1533-position model. The record is from RNAcentral.